This 585-nucleotide ribosomal RNA is filed under the name Triticum aestivum (bread wheat). Its description in RNAcentral is "partial small subunit ribosomal RNA". The record is from RNAcentral. Lineage: Eukaryota; Viridiplantae; Streptophyta; Magnoliopsida; Poales; Poaceae.
AUGCCGUCCACCGCGUCUUGCUGCUUCGCCUCCUCCUCCUUCCCCCAUGGCCGCCCCCGCCUCCGCCUCCUCCUGAUCCACACCACCAUCACCUCGAGCCCCGCGCGCAUCCGCCUCAUCUCCCGCCCCGCCCCUUCCCGGAACCCACUCCGGUUACUCCGAGUCGGCGCCGGUGUCGCCGGCGAUGAGGGAGAAUAUGUGGACAGGGAGGUGGAGGAGGACCGGGAUGAGUGGUACGGGUUCGAGAUGGAGGUGCGGAAGCUACCGGGGAAGAAGAACCGCUGGCUGGUGCACGCGCGGGUGCGGGUCGGCGCGCCGCUCCAGGCCGUCUGGGCCACGCUCACCGACUACGAGGGCUUGGCCGGAUUCAUCCCCGGACUCUCCGAGUGCCGCCUCCUCCACCAGGACAAGGCCUUCACCCGCCUCUACCACGUCGGGGAGCAGGAUCUGGCUCUGGGGUUCAAGUUCAACGCCAAGGGCACCAUCGAAUGCUACGAGGGGGAGAUGGAGCUGCUGCCAGAUUCCCGGGCGCGCCACCGGGAGAUCGACUUCAACAUGGUAGACGGUGAUUUCAAGGUCUUCUAG